RNAcentral lists this non-coding RNA (22 nucleotides) under Rattus norvegicus (Norway rat). The record is from RNAcentral. Lineage: Eukaryota; Metazoa; Chordata; Mammalia; Rodentia; Muridae.
CCAUCUCAGUAGGAGGGUGUCU